GACAGCAUGACGUAGUGGUUUGAGUGCUGGAGUACAACUCUGGAGACCAGGGUUCAAUUCCCAGCUCAGCCA
This 72-nucleotide transfer RNA is filed under the name Phrynosoma platyrhinos (Desert horned lizard). RNAcentral describes it as "tRNA-OTHER". The record is from RNAcentral. Lineage: Eukaryota; Metazoa; Chordata; Lepidosauria; Squamata; Phrynosomatidae.